This 492-nucleotide ribosomal RNA is filed under the name uncultured bacterium. RNAcentral's name for it is "partial 16S ribosomal RNA". It matches the Rfam family "Bacterial small subunit ribosomal RNA", at positions 29 to 507 of the family's 1533-position model. The record is from RNAcentral.
AGUGAACGCUGGCGGUAGGCCUAACACAUGCAAGUCGAACGGCAGCACAGUAAGAGCUUGCUCUUACGGGUGGCGAGUGGCGGACGGGUUAGGAAUACAUCGGAAUCUACUUUUUCGUGGGGGAUAACGUAGGGAAACUUACGCUAAUACCGCAUACGACCUACGGGUGAAAGCAGGGGAUCUUCGGACCUUGCGCGAUUGAAUGAGCCGAUGUCGGAUUAGCUAGUUGGCGGGGUAAGGGCCCACCAAGGCGACGAUCCGUAGCUGGUCUGAGAGGAUGAUCAGCCACACUGGAACUGAGACACGGUCCAGACUCCUACGGGAGGCAGCAGUGGGGAAUAUUGGACAAUGGGCGCAAGCCUGAUCCAGCCAUACCGCGUGGGUGAAGAAGGCCUUCGGGUUGUAAAGCCCUUUUGUUGGGAAAGAAAAGCAGCAGGUUAAUACCCCGCUGUUCUGACGGUACCCAAAGAAUAAGCACCGGCUAACUUCGUG